AUGGGGUGACUGCGUACCUUUUGUAUAAUGGGUCAGCGACUUAUAUUCUGUAGCAAGGUUAACCGUAUAGGGGAGCCGUAGGGAAACCGAGUCUUAACUGGGCGAAUGAGUUGCAGGGUAUAGACCCGAAACCCGGUGAUCUAUCCAUGGGCAGGUUGAAGGUUGGGUAACACUAACUGGAGGACCGAACCGACUAAUGUUGAAAAAUUAGCGGAUGACUUGUGGAUGGGGGUGAAAGGCCAAUCAAACCGGGAGAUAGCUGGUUCUCCCCGAAAGCUAUUUAGGUAGCGCCUCGUGAACUCAUCUUCGGGGGUAGAGCACUGUUUCGACUAGGGGGUCAUCCCGACUUACCAACUCGAUGCAAACUGCGAAUACCGAAGAAUGUUAUCACGGGAGACACACGGCGGGUGCUAACGUCCGUCGUGAAGAGGGAAACAACCCAGACCGCCAGCUAAGGUCCCAAAGUCAUGGUUAAGUGGGAAACGAAGUGGGAAGGCUCAGACAGCCAGGAUGUUGGCUUAGAAGCAGCCAUCAUUUAAAGAAAGCGUAAUAGCUCACUGGUCGAGUCGGCCCGCGCGGAAGAUGUAACGGGGCUAAACCAUGCACCGAAGCUGCGGCAGCGACACAAAGUGUUGUUGGGUAGGGGAGCGUUCUGUAAGCCUGCGAAGGUGUACUGUGAGGUAUGCUGGAGGUAUCAGAAGUGCGAAUGCUGACAUAAGUAACGAUAAUGCGGGUGAAAAACCCGCACGCCGGAAGACCAAGGGUUCCUGUCCAACGUUAAUCGGGGCAGGGUGAGUCGACCCCUAAGGCGAGGCUGAAAAGCGUAGUCGAUGGGAAACGGGUUAAUAUUCCCGUACUGGUGGUAACUGCGAUGGGGGAACGGAGAAGGCUAGGUUGUCCGGGCGACGGUCGUCCCGGUUCAAGCAGGUAGGCAGAGUGAUUAGGCAAAUCCGGUCACUUAAUGCUGAGAUGUGAUGACGAACCACCAAGGUGGUGAAGCAAUUGAUGCCCCGCUUCCAGGAAAAGCCUCUAAGCUUCAGGUUACCAACAAUCGUACCCCAAACCGACACAGGUGGUCAGGUAGAGAAUACUCAGGCGCUUGAGAGAACUCGGGUGAAGGAACUAGGCAAAAUGGUGCCGUAACUUCGGGAGAAGGCACGCUGGCGGUAGGUAAAGUCCCUCGCGGACAGAGCUGAAGCCAGUCGAAGAUACCAGCUGGCUGCAACUGUUUAUUAAAAACACAGCACUGUGCAAACACGAAAGUGGACGUAUACGGUGUGACGCCUGCCCGGUGCUGGAAGGUUAAUUGAUGGGGUUAGCGUAAGCGAAGCUCCUGAUCGAAGCCCCAGUAAACGGCGGCCGUAACUAUAACGGUCCUAAGGUAGCGAAAUUCCUUGUCGGGUAAGUUCCGACCUGCACGAAUGGCGUAAUGAUGGCCAGGCUGUCUCCACCCGAGACUCAGUGAAAUUGAACUCGCUGUGAAGAUGCAGUGUACCCGCGGCAAGACGGAAAGACCCCGUGAACCUUUACUAUAGCUUGACACUGAACAUUGAGCCUUGAUGUGUAGGAUAGGUGGGAGGCUUUGAAGUGUGGACGCCAGUCUGCAUGGAGCCAACCUUGAAAUACCACCCUUUAACGUUUGAUGUUCUAACCUAGGCCCAUAAACUGGGUCGGGGACCGUGUCUGGUGGGUAGUUUGACUGGGGCGGUCUCCUCCUAAAGAGUAACGGAGGAGCACGAAGGUUGGCUAAGCAUGGUCGGACAUCAUGCGGUUAGUGCAAAGGCAUAAGCCAGCUUGACUGCGAGAGUGACGGCUCGAGCAGGUACGAAAGUAGGUCUUAGUGAUCCGGUGGUUCUGAAUGGAAGGGCCAUCGCUCAACGGAUAAAAGGUACUCCGGGGAUAACAGGCUGAUACCGCCCAAGAGUUCAUAUCGACGGCGGUGUUUGGCACCUCGAUGUCGGCUCAUCACAUCCUGGGGCUGAAGUAGGUCCCAAGGGUAUGGCUGUUCGCCAUUUAAAGUGGUACGCGAGCUGGGUUUAGAACGUCGUGAGACAGUUCGGUCCCUAUCUGCCGUGGGCGUUGGAAGAUUGAGAGGGGUUGCUCCUAGUACGAGAGGACCGGAGUGAACGCACCACUGGUGUUCGGGUUGUCAUGCCAAUGGCAUUGCCCGGUAGCUAAGUGCGGAAGAGAUAACCGCUGAAAGCAUCUAAGCGGGAAACUUGCCUCGAGAUGAGUCUUCCCUGUCGCUUUAAGCGACCUAAAGGAACGUUUAAGACUAAGACGUUGAUAGGCUGGGUGUGUAAGCGUAGCGAUACGUUGAGCUAACCAGUACUAAUGAACCGUGAGGCUUAACCUG
RNAcentral lists this ribosomal RNA (2356 nucleotides) under Proteus mirabilis. RNAcentral's name for it is "partial 23S ribosomal RNA". It matches the Rfam family "Bacterial large subunit ribosomal RNA", at positions 588 to 2925 of the family's 2925-position model. Lineage: Bacteria; Pseudomonadati; Pseudomonadota; Gammaproteobacteria; Enterobacterales; Morganellaceae. The record is from RNAcentral.